This 780-nucleotide ribosomal RNA is filed under the name uncultured Neocallimastigales. RNAcentral describes it as "partial large subunit ribosomal RNA". It matches the Rfam family "Eukaryotic large subunit ribosomal RNA", at positions 26 to 629 of the family's 3401-position model. Lineage: Eukaryota; Fungi; Neocallimastigomycota; Neocallimastigomycetes; Neocallimastigales. The record is from RNAcentral.
CGUCUAUAUACGUAUAGCAUAUCAAUAAGCGGAGGAAAAGAAACUAACAAGGAUUCCCUUAGUAACGGCGAGUGAAGCGGGAAGAGCUCAAAUUUGAAAUCUUCAAGGUUCUACCUUGACGAAUUGUAGUUUAAAGAAGUGUUUUCUGUUGGAGUUUUGGUAAAAGUUCUUUGGAAUAGGACAUCAUAGAGGGUGAGAAUCCCGUAUUUGACCAUUAUUUCCAGCUUUGUGAUACACUUUCAAAGAGUCGGAUUGUUUGGGAAUGCAGUCCAAAAUGGGUGGUAAAUUUCAUCUAAAGCUAAAUACUGGCGAGAGACCGAUAGCGAACAAGUACCGUGAGGGAAAGAUGAAAAGAACUUUGAAAAGAGAGUUAAACAGUACGUGAAAUUGUCAAAAGGGAAGCGUUUGACACCAGUGUUGUUUUCUCGAAAAUCAAUUAAUGAUGGUGAUGAUAGUGUUGUCAAUUGACUUUAUCAGCUUACUGUCUACGUUUUUCCUAGUCUUUGUGAAUGCACUUUUCGUUUAACAAGUCAACAUCAAUUUCUUUUGUUGUAAAAGGUCAGAUGGAAGGUGGCUUCAGCUUUCGGUAGAAGUGUUUAUAGCCUUUUGCUUCUGCAGUCGGAGAGAUUGAGGUCUGCAGCGUAGACUCCUUCGGGGUUAGAUACAUUUGUGCUAAGUUAUAGCCUUUCAUAGACAACUUGUUGACUAUGUUUAGUCUUGUAGCUUACUCGCUAUGCCUAUUUUACCUACGCUUAGGAUGUUGAUAUGCAUGACUGAUAU